This is a long non-coding RNA of Mesocricetus auratus (golden hamster), 3064 nucleotides long. RefSeq lists it as uncharacterized. The transcript has 3 exons. Lineage: Eukaryota; Metazoa; Chordata; Mammalia; Rodentia; Cricetidae. The record is from RefSeq and is a predicted model, not a curated record.
UUAUCUGGGCGUCACCUGUGGUGGGCAGAGCUGGUGUUUCUUCAAUUUUGUGUGACUAGACUUUUUUUUUUCUUAGCUGAAAAUUGCUCUCGCCAGCUGCGCUUGGGUCUGGGCUCCAGGCUCUUACUCUUAGGGUGUGAUUUAGGGGCUAUUUUCAGUCUAAUGGGAUAAUUUAUAACCCAGUUCUGUGGCAAAGAAUCGUAGAAUUUCAGACCUGGGUGUUACACCAAACCCAAACAAACUAAGUCAUAACAACAACAAUAAACCAACCAUCCAAACACCCCAGACCAUCGUGCUGCUUCUAAGCCCCGCGCAGCUACAGACUCCGUGGUUUUCACUGCAGCUACAGCAGGUAAAGCUGGUGCCCUACCAGACCCAGCAAGCCUCUGGCUGAGCAUUCUUUUUCAUGGCUAGUCUCUGCCAGGGCUGGCUCCCUGCUGUGGGUCAGCAGAUCAGGAAAGAAGAGUCACACUCUAGACCUGAGGAUCCCCCCCACUCCUCUUGCAUGUCCCCUCCCCCAGACAGGGUCUGGGGGGAGCGGAGCCUUUAUCAUCUGCCGCUGACAGACAUCCCUUAAGGAUUAUUCUAGUCACAGAUGGGGCUAUGGGGUGAUUUGGUGAAGGCCAGCUCAGGGAUGGUGAGGAUGAGAGCAGCCUUUGGUGGCCUGGCUUUAUUCAAAUACAUCAGGAACCCUGGGGACACGUCUCUGUGUUCCUACCAGUGUCUUACCGACUGCUUCUCCCUUAAUAGUGGGUUGGGGGCGCCAUGCUUAGGGGCAAUAGUAAGACCUGGAAAUGGAAGGGAUGUUCUGGACCAGGUGACUGUUAGCAUGACUGCUGCAUUGUUAUGUACCAGUAGAAACAGCACAGGGACCAGAGAGAGGGGGCUGGGCCUCAGUAACCAAGAGACACUUCAGGAAAGGCUGGUGUGGUUGAGGCUGUGUCUCCAUGUGUGUCAACGGUGGCCAAGCUCCAGCAUGGGAAGCCUUGAGGUUGUACCUUCUCUGUCCUAUGCUGCCGAUGGCUGUCUGCCAGUCUGGGUCUGCCCUCCACAGGGCAGGGAGCAGCUCUGCCACAGUGAGGUCCCGGAGGGGCAUGGCACCAUGAGCAAGUCCACUCACUCCAGCCUAAAUCCAUCGUUUACAGCAGAGUGCAGUGUGCUUAUCCAGUGGAAGCCAGAGAGGAACCCAGGGAAGCACAGAUGCAGAGGUGCCCUGGUGUGUGGGGCACAGACGAGAGCUCCAGCUGGACCGACAGCAAACGACUUAGGGUUAGGGUUAGGUCCCAGGCUGGCCAUGUGUACGUGUCUGGACCUUUGGGAAUAAUCUCACAGGGGUGGGAGCUUCACAGAGAGAUGGAGCUGUAAGGAUGGCACAGGAAGCUUUGAAGGCAAAGGACUGUGUGUCCAGCAAAUGCUCCCUCAACACCUGCUGGGUGGAAUUUGCUGGAACACACGGAGGCUACAGUUGGCUGCACAGCAGGCCUCCUGGCUAGAAACUCCUAAAGGGAGAGCCAGACUGGCCGGUGGAUGGUACUACUGUGGCUCCUACAUCUCUCUUGGACGUGAUGCAGGCACCCCAAACCACCGUGUGCAGGUCUGUGUGAGAGGCUCCUCAGCCGUUCCCCAACCAGGAAGCUGAUCACGUGUAGAGCCGGCUGUUAGCGCUUCCCCAGGUAAGACUUCAUGGGAGCUGGGAUCCAGCUGUCCGGGAGAGCAGCACCACAGCCAGACCCUGUUGGAGAAAGCCAGCGUGGCAUUCCGACACCUGGAGCAGUGCCCAAGAGAUGCGCACUCAGGAUGGAGUUGGACUAGUGGAAAUCGGAGCUGCUCUUCCCAGCAGCCUCUUCUGCCCAGAGACCCUGGAGAGUUAGUGCCGGCCCUUCCCAGGCGUGGGAGUAGGGUGUGUGGGUCACCCCUCCUCCUGCUGCUGUGAGACACAGCAAACCCUCUCCUCUGUGAGUCCCUCGGAGGCCACCACACUCGGGAAGCACACCCCCAUGCAAAGAGGCCCCCGAAGAUGACAAAGUGGCGGCGCGAAGCCCCUGACCGCCUCUGCGAUGGGGCAGAUGCCCCAGAGUCCUCUCGGGCGCAGACCAAGGCUAAACUGACCCGUGCUCUGAAGUGUUUGACCUCUGCUGCGUCAUCUCUAUUGGUCUCUCAGGCUCUGCUUCCAGGGCUACCCAUAGGACACGCCCCGGAGGCUGCUGCUCCCGCUCUGAGCGGAGCUUUGGAGCUUUUCUCAGAGUUUUAAGACCAAACUGCUUUUUGAAAGGUGAAGAGAUUGAAGUUUGGGGUUGGAGAAGGGAACGUGGCUGCUGGGAGCUCAGGGUGUCUUACUCUCCCACCCACAGGCCGUGGGACUUGUACCACAGGGGAUUUCAGGGUGUGAGCAGAGAAAUCUCUACGCCCUGAUAAGCCUCUCUGCUGAUGCAGCAGCCCAAAUCAAAUAAAAGGAAUUAGAAAAAGCCCACAUUUAAUGGAUACAACUCUCCCAAUGGCGCUCCAGCCCCCAGACAGGAGCGGGGAAAGAGAGACCGGAAAACCACAGGUGUCCUGGGGAAACUCCAAAUUUUGGAGGUCAUUGUUACUGUUAACGUCAGUUGCCAACUUGCUGUGACCCAGAAUUACCUGAGAGACCCGGCGCUUUAGAUGGAACAUUCUUUCCCAAAUGAAAGACUACACUUCCCAGCUCCCUUUGAGGCUCCUUCUGAGUGCAUUUCUAAAUUCUGCUCCAUGAAACAGAAGUUCCAUGACCCCAUGAGACGUGGGUCAAAAGUCUCUAAGACCAAGCCCCUUCCCCCUUCUCCUACAACUCUCGGUUCUCGGAUGUCAGUAUGAUGGCAGGGACUCCAGUUGCCAUCUUGGAUCACGAGGACAAGUUCCAGACCUUGAAGACAGGAACCUUGUUGUAUAAGAGUGGAAUGGUGGCAGGUGUGUGUGUGUGUGUGUGUGUGUGUGUGUGUGUGUGUGUGUGAGCCCUGUCCUUGAUGGCUUUUCUAGCUGCCACACUGGACUGUGUGCUUCUGACCGUCAUUUAUAACUGUAAAAAUUAAUUUCAAUGUGA